This 208-nucleotide long non-coding RNA is filed under the name Capsicum annuum. RNAcentral describes it as "long non-coding RNA (CANN_LNC007770)". The record is from RNAcentral. Lineage: Eukaryota; Viridiplantae; Streptophyta; Magnoliopsida; Solanales; Solanaceae.
AUUAGAUUUAGAUAUCCACCAAGAUAUUAUAAAUAUAAUUUAAAAUGAAUAAAAUACAACGAUAUAAAGAAUUAAAACAAAUUAUCUCUGAAAAACGUAAAGAAUUAAAAAUAAGAAUAGAAAGACUACAUUAUAAUAUAUUUGCCGGAGUUAGUAAAAAUUCAAUAGAUACACAAAAAGAUGAAAUAUCAAAAUUAGAAUCACAAAU